GCACUGAGGUGACACACUUCAUCAGGUUAGAUUAAUUCACCAACUCCUGUGUGCUAUUAUAGGCAGUUUUUGGCUCUAUACUUAUGGAGAUAGUUGGACAGUUAAGAAUUGACAGCACUUAUAACACUUAUGACAGCCUUCUAACUCUUUGAUUAACAAGGAAGGUUUCAACGUUUCUCCUUUCAAUUAUCAAUUACAAAUGGAACAUGAGCAAAAAAUAGGGCUCAAAAGAAAACUAACAAGCGGAAUAGAAUCGCUCUACGUGAUGAGGAACUGAGAAAGAAUUACCAUAAUUUGUGUGAAUUUCACCACUGAACUAGAAAAAAAUGAAGAAUUUUUAAGAAGAAAGUAUACCUAAAAUUAUUUUUAAACGCUAUAUUUUUUUGUUUGUUUGUUUGCUUUCAUCUUUGAGUAAGAUAGAGUGUUUUGGAAGAUGGGGUUUUCUAUGAUCUCCUGCUGGGAAUAGUCUCAUGUGAAGCUGCCUAGUGCUUUGUGAAGUAUAUAAAUAGGGUGACAAGUUACAGCUAAAUUUAAGAGAGAAGAUGUCAACUUAAGCUUAAUGCUUUAAAUCUUGUUACUUGCAUGAUUCUUAUGUGAUACAUCUACAGAUGAGAUCAAUGGAAAUUGAAGUUCCUUCAUUAUAGAAGAGAAAUUGCUGUUGGUAUAUCAUUUUUCAUUAAAAUCUGGUGUGCAUCCUUCCCAACUGUUUUGCCAGAAAAUUUAUGAUACUCCAGUUGAGCUAUGAUUAUUGUUAUUUUUUUAUACACAAGGACUUGUGCUGGGAAUAAAAAGGAGAAGUUAAUGCACUCCUAUAACUGCUUUUCCAUAUCUCUAUCCAUAUCCAGUAUUUAAUAGUUACAAUUGCUUAAAGCCGAAAAAAAAAAAAAAAGACAAUUUGAGGUUAUUGUUAAAAUGUAGAUGAUUCAACCUGAACUCUUUCAUGAAGAUUGUCUACAUAUGAAGAUCAACAUA
Molecule: long non-coding RNA, 972 nt
Organism: Lagopus muta (rock ptarmigan)
Lineage: Eukaryota; Metazoa; Chordata; Aves; Galliformes; Phasianidae
Exons: 3
Source: RefSeq, a predicted model, not a curated record